Symphalangus syndactylus (siamang) is the source of this 493-nucleotide long non-coding RNA. RefSeq lists it as uncharacterized. The record is from RefSeq and is a predicted model, not a curated record. Lineage: Eukaryota; Metazoa; Chordata; Mammalia; Primates; Hylobatidae.
AAUAAUGAUUCACUUCAGCUCUAGAGAAACGUAUGAAGGAAGGGAGGAAAAGAGUUGAAAUUCAGAAUAAGAGUGUGAUUCCGUUACCUGAAGAGGCAAAAGAGCAGGAGGAAAUUGGACAAUCUACGCUACAUAAUGUUCAAGUGUACAGAAAAGGAAGCUGAGAUUGAAAUACUGGAGUGUGAUGAAUGAACCCCAGAGACCAAUGUCCCAAACAUAGCCCAGUCUGCAUCUCCCACAUGAAGGAACCCAAGGAAUGGUCACGUUUCCAUAUAUCCCCACUUAAGUGACAUGAGAUGGAUGGGUUUCCACAAGGAUCAGCUGGAGGAGUUUCACAUCCAUCUGGCAAAGCUGCAUUAAGCCUCGUGUUUUCCAGGGAACUGCAUUGCUCUACAGAAGCAAUGACGAAUUAUUCAAUUGCUUUAUGAAUAUUUCCUCCCAUUAACCUCUUUCUGAAAAUUUGCUGAUACGAGUUAAGUGUCUCUUAACCAAA